CUCAUUAAAUCAGUUAUAGUUUAUUUGAUGGUCUCUUUGUCUUUUUUUACCUACUUGGAUAACCGUGGUAAUUCUAGAGCUAAUACAUGCGCAAGGUCCCAAGCGCGGAGGGUAGGGCUUCACGGUUCUAUUCUUGCAUGCGCAGAGGGAUGUAUUUAUUAGGUUAAACAACCAGCAUUUUAACAAUCAUCUGGUGAUUCAUAGUAACUCUUUCGGAUCGCAUUCAUG
Molecule: ribosomal RNA, 228 nt
Filed under: uncultured Acanthamoeba
Lineage: Eukaryota; Discosea; Longamoebia; Acanthamoebidae
Description: partial 18S ribosomal RNA
Rfam family: Eukaryotic small subunit ribosomal RNA
Source: RNAcentral